UCAGGAUCCCCCGAGUCUCUAUCUCCCGUCCUUGAUGAACUUCCUGUAGUUCUGUUGCAGUUACAGAAUGAUGACCAAUGUUCAUAGUAAAGACACCUUUCCAAGUCCCUGUAUGAUCUCUAAGCAACCCUCCUGUAUUAAAACCAUCAAUGUUGAUUUUACACCCCCCUGAAUCUGGAGAAUGCCAGUCUAUAAGCCUCUCAGUGUGAGAAUAUUUAUCCAUCGUCCGCGGCUCUAUCAACAGUUUAACCAUCAUUGCUGUUUAACUGGGUGCCUGAUAACAUUAUAG
This 289-nucleotide unclassified non-coding RNA is filed under the name Hevea brasiliensis (rubber tree). Lineage: Eukaryota; Viridiplantae; Streptophyta; Magnoliopsida; Malpighiales; Euphorbiaceae. The record is from RNAcentral.